This 1618-nucleotide long non-coding RNA is filed under the name Homo sapiens (human). RNAcentral describes it as "HSALNT0293689". The record is from RNAcentral. Lineage: Eukaryota; Metazoa; Chordata; Mammalia; Primates; Hominidae.
GCCAUGAUUGUGAGGCUUCUUCAGCCACGUGGAACUGUCUGCUGUGGUUUGCUGGGGUGCUACUCCUGACCCUAGUUGCCUUAGUUUUUCCCGUACCUGGGGGUAUCACCAGUGAAGGCUGUAAAAAGGCAAAGAUGGCAGCCUGCCCCUUCCUCUGGAAGCUCUGUUCCAGGUGCCGUGGAAGUGUGGCCUGCAGAACAAUGCUGCUCAGCUCCCUGGAUUCUGACCACUUCCUAGGGAUGACCAUGGAAGGUUGGUUGGAAUUUGGAAUGCAGCCCAGGGAAAUACUGCUCACCUAAGUAGCUCUUGUUUAACUUUAGUGGAGGAGAAGGUAAAAAUGAAUGCCCACUCUGUGGAUGAAGGUAGGUUUUGGAGCUCAUUUAUUCAUCUCUUUCCCAGGUUGGCACGAAUUAAAAUAAAAAAAUUAAUCUCACUCUGUCUCCAGCUAUUGUAAAACAAUUUCUGAUUUUUGUUUGUCUUUUCUUAUUCUUUUUCUCAAACUCUCCAGCUUCACUAAAUUUAAUUUAUGAUGUUUUAAACUAAAUAAACUGAAAAAGACUUCGAGAUGAAUCAUUUUCUAUUUAUAAUUUGUUUAGGUAUCCCAGUUUUUCAGUCAUAUCUCUUGAAAGACUCAGGAUUUUUAUCAUAACCUUUUAAAAUUUGGUAUAUUACCCUUGAGGGGUAAGUGCGAUGUUUGCCUAGAAUCCUGCAAUUUAUGAAUUUAAACAGCAAAAAUAAAUCACUACCGGCAUUAUAUUAACAAAAGAUUUAUAGUCACCACAAAGCUGCAAACAAUAAGAUGUUGUUAUUUAGCUUCAACUUGAUUAAAAAACUGAGCAAGUGAUUAUACAUUCAUGGCUUUUGCUCCUGUAGCUCAAUGUGAAAUAUAGUAUGGGAACCAGUUUUCUAGGUGUUUCGGUUACCUAUUAUAUAUAGCUUGGGGUGGUUUGUUACCACCCCAUCAGCAUUGUUCUGAAGCUGCAAUGAGAUGGGCAAUAUAAGGUCUAUAAGCAUUCAAUUAUUAUGAACUAUUAUUAUUAUCUUCCCUUAUGAUUUCAAGCACAUUUAUAACAUAAUAGUUAUUUUAACUUGUAUUUUCCUAGGCUCCCUGUAGUUUAAACAGCCAGGUUGAUGAUGAUGCCCUUUACUAAAAUAGAAGGAAUGAGACAAAAAUAUGUAAUUUUGCAAGGAAUGAUUCUAGAGGCUGUUAAGAAUAUGUAUGAGCAUAUAUUCAAUUGUUCAUGUAUACAUGCAUAGAUUUAAUAUAUGCAGAUGUAUAACGAGAGAGAGGGAGAGAGAGAAAGAGAGAGGGAGAUAAUGAGAGAGAGGUAAGGGGUAAAUAAUUUUGGAGCCAACUAUCCCAGCUGAUAAUGCAUAACUAAGACCUUCAUUACUCUUUGCUCUUGAAGACAGAAAUUUUACCUUAUUCAUCUUUAUAGUUUCUCUAACACACAACAUUAUCUGUCAACUUCAUGUGGCAGGGCAUUCAUAAUUUUUUUUGCUAAACUGUACUAACAUAUUCCAGCUAGAGUCAGCAUGAGAAAUAAUCUGGAGACAAUUUUUGAAGCUCCUCAUUAUUUCACAGAUUCAGUUAUUCCAGGUUAAACCAUGCCUUUCA